UACGUAGGGUGCAAGCGUUAAUCGGAUUUACUGGGCGUAAAGCGUGCGCAGGCGGCCCUCCAAGUCAGGUGUGAAAGCCCCGGGCUUAACCUGGGAAUGGCGCUUGAAACUGGAGGGCUAGAGUCUGCCAGAGGGGGGUGGAAUUCCACGUGUAGCAGUGAAAUGCGUAGAGAUGUGGAGGAACACCGAUGGCGAAGGCAGCCCCCUGGGGUAAGACUGACGCUCAGGCACGAAAGCGUGGGGAGCAAACAGG
Molecule: ribosomal RNA, 253 nt
Filed under: uncultured bacterium
Lineage: Bacteria
Description: partial 16S ribosomal RNA
Rfam family: Bacterial small subunit ribosomal RNA
Source: RNAcentral